RNAcentral lists this long non-coding RNA (2527 nucleotides) under Canis lupus familiaris (dog). RNAcentral describes it as "lncRNA (ENSCAFG00000058293.1)". Lineage: Eukaryota; Metazoa; Chordata; Mammalia; Carnivora; Canidae. The record is from RNAcentral.
AUGGAGCCAUGCAUUGGCACCGUGCUCAGCGGGGAGUCUGCUUGAGAUUCUCUCUCUGCCCCUCCCCAACUUGCUAUCUCUGAAAUAAAAUCUUUCAGACAAAUAACUUUCAGAUAUCCCCACUUUCAUUGAAAAGCAUAUGCAACUCAAGCGAUUGCAGACAACCUGCCUCAUAAGGUCUGAUCCAUUAUGAUCACACAGUGGCUAUUCUGACAGAGUCCACUGCUGCCGGGGAGUUUUCAACGCCACCCAGAAACAGAGAAGAAAAAGUGCCCAGGGUACGAGAGCACAUCAUAAACUAAUAAGGCACGCAGAAAAUAGGUAAGUGGUCUUUUGUCAAAAGAUUACCAUCAGAGUGUUUGAAGCACUUUGAACCAAGUUGGGACAAAGAGCCCAAAGUUUCUUUUUCUUUCUUUCUUUUUUUUUUUUUUUUUUUUUUUUUAGAUAUUUACAGGACAAAAAGGCAUCAAUCAGAAAAGUUAAAGAUGUUUUUAAAAAUCACAGUCUUCUAUGUAAAAAAUGAAGCUUAGAUGGAUAAAGGGAUUUGCUCAAGGUCACACAAGUAGACACUGACAUAAUCAGGAUUAAAACCCUGGCCUCUAUUCCUAGUCUGAAGGGGGAGGAAAGGGUGCUGGGGCUGUGCUGGUCUCCACCCCCACCUAACAGUGCAGCCCUGGGUCUACCCACCUGUCCUUGUUGAGAGAAGGGUUAUUUACUGUUCUUUAAAUAGAAGAGAGGUUGGGUUUUGUUUUGUUUGUUUUUAAAUACAGAACUCACAGGAACAGGACUAGAUUUAAAUAUUAGUCCUUUGUUUCCAAGGGAAGAAGCUGUAGAAAGAAAUGAGCAUUUCACUGCAGACUUUUCUCAGUGGAACAGCUGUGAGCCCUAAAGCUUGGAUUGUCUCUUUCUGGUAUCUAACACAUCUACCCAUAACCUUUCAUUACAAAAUUGGGAACAUAUUCUCAAGGGAAAUGUUAUUAACCAGACUAAAUUUAAAAUGGUCUCUGGCUCCUGAAGAGUCAACAGCGGAAAAGCAGUACAAAAGCAAGAACCCCAGGACCCAAAACAGGAUUCUAUUUAUUUAUCCUAUUCACUUAUUCCAUUUGACAAAUAUUUAUACAUACUGUGAGCCAGGCACUAUAUAUGUAUGAUAUAUAUGACUUCUUAUGUGUGUGUGUGUGUGUGUGUGUAUGUAUAUAUAUAUAUUUUUUUAUAUAUAUUUACUUUGAGUCAGGUACUAUUUUAAGGGCUUUAUAAUUAAUAAGUCAUUUUAUCCUCAUAUUAACCAUAGAAGAUGCCUGUCAACUAAAUUGUUUCUAAGAGCCCAGCAGGAAAUGUAUCUGAAUAUGUUGGAAGGGUUAGCACAGUGUGUUCAGCCAGCACAUUGAAUGAUGAUGUCCCGGCACGACACAGAUAAAUAAAAAAGGCAGAGAAGAACAUAACAGUGCCCAGAAAUUUGUGGUAGUUUCCGGUGGCUGCUGUAACAAAUUAAGCUUGGUGGCUUAAAACAACACAUUCUCUCACAAAUCUAGAGGCACAAAGUCCAGAAUCAGUUUCACUGGGUCAAAACCAAGGUGUUGGCAGGGCCAUGCUCCCUCCAGACGUUCUAGGGGGGCAUGCAUUCCUCGCCUCUUUCAGCUUUUGGCAGCGGCUGCUGCCAUUCCAAGGCUUAUAGCUACAGCUCUCCAGCUCUCUCAAUCUCUUCCAGCUCCACAUCACCUCCUCCUCUGUGCGUGUCAAUUAGCCUGCUUUCUCUUAUAAGGCCAUUUGUGAUAGCACUUAGGACCCACUUGGAUAAUCAGGGAUAAUCUGGUGAUCUCAAGAUCCUUAACUUAAUCACAUUUUUUAUAAAAGGCCUUUUCAAAAUUAAGUAACAUCUAUAAGUUCCAGAGAUGAUAUCUUUGGGCCAGAUAUUUUGAGGGGGCCAAUUUUCAGCCUACCACAAAAUCAUCUGGCUAAGAGCAGCCCCCUCCACCUAACAUACACACACACACACACACACACACACACACACACAAAUACACUCACCCUCUCAAAUUUGAACAGGACUCUCCUGUGAAGCAGAACCGUUUAUCUGCAACUUCAUCAAAGGGAAGGCAGACAUCAGGGCCUUACAAGGAACUCUCUGGAAGGUACCUUGCAACAUCUUCUGGUUUCAGAGCUGCUACAGCAGAAGCUCCAUGACUGGAUGCAUGUGAUGGAGGAGACUCCUACCUUGGCUGGGAGUGGAUCCAUGUAACUCUCAAGAUUCCCUUGCAAACUUUUAAAGAAUGCUCUUCUGACUCAUUCCCAUGUUUUCCAGAGGUCACCUUGCUUGGACACACUUGGCAGGGAAACAUGGAGUCAAACACCUGCUCAGAGCUGAGCAUUCACCAUCUACCCAUGGCUUUAAGUUGGAUGCAAGGUCAGAACCUGCCUCCUUUGUGUUCUGCUAGCAAAUCGGACUACUUGCAUUUCUCACAGCAGGUGCUUCUUGGGCUGACUUUAUACCUGGCUUCCUCUUGGCUGUCCUUCCCUUGUUUUCCCU